This is a non-coding RNA of Cajanus cajan (pigeon pea), 718 nucleotides long. The record is from RefSeq and is a predicted model, not a curated record. NCBI's taxonomy places the organism in Eukaryota, Viridiplantae, Streptophyta, Magnoliopsida, Fabales, Fabaceae.
UCGUGCAACUUUGUGGCUCCGGUGCUCUCCCUACGAAAAUCUCCAUCAAAGUUCAAUCUUCUCUCGUGAUUCUUUUGAAUCUUCUCUGUCGCGCAUCUCUGGGUCGGUGCUCUCCCUACCAAAAGCUCCAUCAAAGACGGUCCAUCAAAGACGGUAUCUUCACUGUGUACCCUCCCUUCCACAUACGACAUUUUAUGGAUGAGUUUAAAGAAACGUGUAAUUUGAAUGAAAAUGGUUUUAUUGAUUGUAACCGUAGUGAGGUUGAAAAAUCAAUUAAUAUAGAUAGUCAAAUUGAUGAAGAGGAUAAUUUACAAGAUGAAGGUGAUGAAGAUGUAUACAAAAGUUAUCUUGAUCUGAUUGCAGAUGAUAUUUUUGGAUUGGAGUUUGCAAGUGAAAAUGUUGCUUAAAAAUUUUAUUUCACUUAUGCUAAGUGUCAUGGUUUUGGGAUCAGAAAAGAUGAGGUAGGUUAUGAUGAUAAGCACAAUAUUUUGAUGCGACAAUAUUUAUGCAACAAAGCUGGAUUAAGAGACAAAAAACAUUUCAUGAGAGAUGAUAGGAAAAAAGAACAUAGAUCACUAUCUCGUACAUAUUGUAAAGCAAAGUUACGUGUGCGUUUGGAUCGUCAAACCUCUAAAUUUAAGGUUGUUUCAUUUGAGGAAGGUCAUAAUCAUAAUUUAUGUGGUUCUAAUUUUGUGCAAUUAAUCCGUACGUACCGUGG